Molecule: long non-coding RNA, 322 nt
Filed under: Zostera marina
Lineage: Eukaryota; Viridiplantae; Streptophyta; Magnoliopsida; Alismatales; Zosteraceae
Description: long non-coding RNA (ZMAR_LNC005958)
Source: RNAcentral
CUUAAAAUUAUUUAAGAUCCAUUUUUUUUACUUCUUGAGUAAAUUACACAAAUAUGAAUAGAAGAACUAAAUAGAGAAGAAAGCAAAAUAGCAAAGGUGAACCAUAGAACAUGAAUCUUAACUCCAAUGUAACCAAGAACCCUAAACUUUAUCCUAUCGCCAACCAUUGUAUCUCUGAAAAGCUCAAUUACAUCAGACAAAUGAAUGACGUGAACAGCAAAAGCAGACGAAGGUAGACAUGAGACGAAUAGAAGAAGCUUUUAGCUUGUUUUCGAGUCUUUAAAACAAGCACUGAGAAGAUCCACCAUGAGCUGAUAGCUGA